CUCCCAAACCCCUGUGAACAUACCUUAAUGUUGCCUCGGCGGAUCAGCCCGCGCCCCGUAAAACGGGACGGCCCGCCAGAGGACCCAAACUCUAAUGUUUCUUAUUGUAACUUCUGAGUAAAACAAACAAAUAAAUCAAAACUUUCAACAACGGAUCUCUUGGUUCUGGCAUCGAUGAAGAACGCAGCAAAAUGCGAUAAGUAAUGUGAAUUGCAGAAUUCAGUGAAUCAUCGAAUCUUUGAACGCACAUUGCGCCCGCUGGUAUUCCGGCGGGCAUGCCUGUUCGAGCGUCAUUUCAACCCUCAAGCCCCCGGGUUUGGUGUUGGGGAUCGGCUCUGCCUUCUGGCGGUGCCGCCCCCGAAAUACAUUGGCGGUCUCGCUGCAGCCUCCAUUGCGUAGUAGCUAACACCUCGCAACUGGAACGCGGCGCGGCCAUGCCGUAAAACCCCAACUUCUGAAUGUUGACCUCGGAUCAGGUAGGAAUACCCGCUGAACUUAAGCAUAUCAAUAAGCGGAGGA
This 519-nucleotide ribosomal RNA is filed under the name Fusarium avenaceum. Its description in RNAcentral is "eukaryotic LSU rRNA". The stretch from base 140 to 293 matches the Rfam family "5.8S ribosomal RNA". Lineage: Eukaryota; Fungi; Ascomycota; Sordariomycetes; Hypocreales; Nectriaceae. The record is from RNAcentral.